Molecule: ribosomal RNA, 590 nt
Filed under: uncultured haloarchaeon
Lineage: Archaea; Methanobacteriati; Methanobacteriota; Halobacteria; Halobacteriales; Halobacteriaceae
Description: bacterial SSU rRNA
Rfam family: Archaeal small subunit ribosomal RNA
Source: RNAcentral
GCAGCAAGCGCGAAACCUUUACACUGCACGCCAGUACGAUAAGGGGAUCCCGGGUGCGCAGGCAUAGAGCCUACGCUUUUCUGAGCUGUAGGAAGGUUGAGGAACAAGAGCUGGGCAAGACCGGUGCCAGCCGCUGCGGUAAUACCGGCAGCUCGAGUAAUGGCCGAUCUUAUUGGGCCUAAAGCGUCCGUAGCUGGCCGCGCAAGUCCGUCGGGAAAUCCACCCGCUCAACGGGUGGGCGUCCGGCGGAAACUGCAAGGCUUGGGACCGGGAGGCUUGAAGGGUACGUCCGGGGUAGGAGUGAAAUCCCGUAAUCCUGGACGGACCGCCGAUGGGGAAACCACUUCAAGAGAACGGAUCCGACAGUGAGGGACGAAAGCUAGGGUCUCGAACCGGAUUAGAUACCCGGGUAGUCCUAGCUGUAAACGAUGCCUGUUAGGUGUGACUCCCACUACGAGUGGGUGUUGUGCCGUAGGGAAGCCGCUAAACAGGCCGCCUGGGAAGUACGUCUGCAAGGAUGAAACUUAAAGGAAUUGGCGGGGGAGCACUACAACCGGAGGAGCCUGCGGUUUAAUUGGAUUCAACGCCGG